UACGUAGGUGGCGAGCGUUGUCCGGAUUUACUGGGCGUAAAGGGAGCGUAGGCGGACUUUUAAGUGAGAUGUGAAAUACCCGAGCUCAACUUGGGUGCUGCAUUUCAAACUGGAAGUCUAGAGUGCAGGAGAGGAGAAUGGAAUUCCUAGUGUAGCGGUGAAAUGCGUAGAGAUUAGGAAGAACACCAGUGGCGAAGGCGAUUCUCUGGACUGUAACUGACGCUGAGGCUCGAAAGCGUGGGGAGCAAACAGGAUUAGAUACCCGU
RNAcentral lists this ribosomal RNA (266 nucleotides) under uncultured prokaryote. RNAcentral describes it as "partial 16S ribosomal RNA". It matches the Rfam family "Bacterial small subunit ribosomal RNA", at positions 524 to 789 of the family's 1533-position model. The record is from RNAcentral.